GACGAACGCUGGCGGCGUGCUUAACACAUGCAAGUCGAACGGACAGGCCCUGCUCUUGUGGGGUGCUCGAGAGGCGAACGGGUGAGUAACACGUGAGUAAACUGCACUUGACUGUGGGAUAACUUCAGGAAACUGGGGCGAAUACAGGAUAGGAGCUCCUGCAGCACGGGGGGGGUUGGAAAGUGUCGGCGGUUGGGGAUGGACUCGCGGCUUAUGAGCUGGUUGGUGGGGUAGUGGAGUCCAAAGGCUUUGACGGGUAGCCGGCCUUAGAGGGUGACCGGCCUCAUUGCUCCUAAGAUACGGCCCAGACUCCUACCGUCCGCAGCAGUGGGGAAUAUUGCACAAUGGCCGGACGCCUGAUGCGACGACGCCGCGUUCGGGAUGACGGCCUUCGGGUUGUAAACCGCUUUCGCCUGUGACGAAGCGUGAGUGACGGUAAUGGGUAAAGAAGCACCGGCUAACUACGUG
Molecule: ribosomal RNA, 468 nt
Filed under: uncultured bacterium
Lineage: Bacteria
Description: partial 16S ribosomal RNA
Rfam family: Bacterial small subunit ribosomal RNA
Source: RNAcentral